AUUGAACGCUGGCGGCAGGCCUAACACAUGCAAGUCGAGCGGAUGAAGGGAGCUUGCUCCUGGAUUCAGCGGCGGACGGGUGAGUAAUGCCUAGGAAUCUGCCUGGUAGUGGGGGAUAACGUCCGGAAACGGGCGCUAAUACCGCAUACGUCCUGAGGGAGAAAGUGGGGGAUUUUCGGACCUCACGCUAUCAGAUGAGCCUAGGUCGGAUUAGCUAGUUGGUGGGGUAAAGGCCUACCAAGGCGACGAUCCGUAACUGGUCUGAGAGGAUGAUCAGUCACACUGGAACUGAGACACGGUCCAGACUCCUACGGGAGGCAGCAGUGGGGAAUAUUGGACAAUGGGCGAAAGCCUGAUCCAGCAAUGCCGCGUGUGUGAAGAAGGUCUUCGGAUUGUAAAGCACUUUAAGUUGGGAGGAAGGGCAGUAAGUUAAUACCUUGCUGUUUUGACGUUACCAACAGAAUAAGCACCGGCUAACUUCGUG
Molecule: ribosomal RNA, 484 nt
Filed under: uncultured bacterium
Lineage: Bacteria
Description: partial 16S ribosomal RNA
Rfam family: Bacterial small subunit ribosomal RNA
Source: RNAcentral